Molecule: ribosomal RNA, 163 nt
Filed under: Bulbophyllum lobbii
Lineage: Eukaryota; Viridiplantae; Streptophyta; Magnoliopsida; Asparagales; Orchidaceae
Also listed under: 1 other name
Description: 5.8S ribosomal RNA
Rfam family: 5.8S ribosomal RNA
About the family: 5.8S ribosomal RNA (5.8S rRNA) is a component of the large subunit of the eukaryotic ribosome. It is transcribed by RNA polymerase I as part of the 45S precursor that also contains 18S and 28S rRNA. Functionally, it is thought that 5.8S rRNA may be involved in ribosome translocation.
Source: RNAcentral
ACACGACUCUCGGCAAUGGAUAUCUCGGCUCUCGCAUCGAUGAAGAGCGCAGCGAAAUGCGAUACGUGGUGCGAAUUGCAGAAUCCCGCGAACCAUCGAGUCUUUGAACGCAAGUUGCGCCCGAGGCCAACCGGCUAAGGGCACGUCCGCCUGGGCGUCAAGC